Molecule: long non-coding RNA, 2442 nt
Filed under: Equus caballus (horse)
Lineage: Eukaryota; Metazoa; Chordata; Mammalia; Perissodactyla; Equidae
Description: lncRNA (ENSECAG00000045531.1)
Source: RNAcentral
GCCCUGUGGUCUGCUCUCUAUAAAUAGCAGCUUCUUCGUGGGUAACCCAGGGCUGCCUCUGAAAUUGCCAGACUUGGAAAUUACAUCAACCCAGUUCAAUAGGUACUUAUCGUGUAGCUCAAGAGAAGGGUGCUCUCAAACAGCUUAGAUGACAAGUAGGGAAGAACCCAGGAGUCUGGAGAGGUAGCUUAGAAGAAGGUUGGCCUUUGUGUUUUGAAGAUUUCUCUCUAAGAUCUAAGCACUGGACCCCAAAACAAAGGAUAAGUAGAACCCAGGUGCUAGGUGGGAAAAUAUAGGUCUAGAAAAGUGGAAUCCUUCUCAUUCCACACUGGUGAUUGAUUUGGUGAUUAGUCUAAUCCAAAUGUGGACUUGUGUUCCCUGGGCCGGUGACAGUUGUGGGUAGAGGCAUAUGACCCUGUAAGAAAUGAAAAUCGGGUGCAGGAAUGAGGGAAGGGGAGAAGGGGGAAGGUUUCUGGGAGAGGCUAAAACUGAUAAAAUGUUCCUCAAUCAUUGUUAUGUUUCAGAUAACAGAUACCACUUGAACAUUAAGCAGAAAAAGAUUUAAUUUAGGAAAUGAAGGGCUUAAAAAUUCAUGGAUGGGCUAGUAGAGCAGGUCCUAGGCUACGCCUCCAGCAGCAACCAGCGGAACACAGCAGAAAUGUCAGCUGGGGUGGCUGCUACUUGUGUCACAAGCAAGAAGCUGGGGGAAUCAGGAAGCCACCACAGUAAGUGUGGCUCCAGAACUACACCACUUUACCUACGUCCGGGGAUCAGGAAACUACCUCCAGGGCCAGAUCGUACCCACUUGAUCUGCCUGGGCAAAAAUGGAGGCUCUACUUCCUGCUUCUCUGCACUCAGGAAGCCAGUGACAGGGCACUGGGGCUUCUGCUGGUAGUGCAGCAAAAGCUCAGCGCCUGCAUGACCACGUUUGCCAGGAAACAGCAGAUGAAGCAGACCACAGCCUCUUAGAUUUCAAGAGGGUGUGUCCGAUGUGCACUCUUCCACAGGGGAGCAGCUCUGUUAGGACAACACUCCUGCCUCCCUCCGUCCCUUCACACACUCCUUCCCUGGGUGGGGGAGUGACACAUCUGACUGGUUCACCUAGGUUUAUGCCCUUCCCAGUGGAGUGCUACAGGACCACAUACAUUUCUGUCUGAAAUCUUGAUGAAAAGGGAUCUGGGAUGACCCUCCUAAGAGGCUCAAAUCCUCCUUGAAAUCUAGACUAGCCCUGAGCUAACAUCCGUGCCCAUCUUCCUCUACUUUAUAUGUGGAACACCUACAACAGCAUGGCUUGCCAAGUGGUGCCAUGUCCACACCCAGAAUCCAAACCAGCGAACCCCAGGCCGCUGAAGUGGAAUGUGGGAACUUAACCACUGCGCCACCGGGCCAGCCCCCAGUUAAUCACUUUUAUGGAAUAAUAAAAGGUGCAUAAAAUGUCAGUGCUGCCCUGCCCAGAAACCCCUCCCCAGCAUGGAGUGUUACUGAAACAGCUUUCAUUCAGUUUAGGAGUCACCCUACCAAGCUGGUAUGACAUGAAUUAAGAAGGUGAGCUGCAAAGGAAGAAGCUGAGAGCUGCUUAUUUCAAGAUAGUUGUCUCUAAGCCCAGCCAACAGAACAAGGCGCCAAGGGAUAAAAGUUAAGUAGGAUGAGAUCUGCAAUAAAGCCAAAGAUGUGGGUUCUAUUUCUGAUUUUGUUAUCAUUUUGACCUUUUAGAAUGCAGAAGAAAUGAAAAUGUUUGUCUUAUAUCGACCUGCCCAGGAUGUAAUAGAGAAGAACAAGACUCAAGCAGAGAAAUGGAGACUUCCCUUAAGAAAUGCAUUAACUAAAUGUCAGCUAUACCCACUUCCUAAUGUGGUUCACUGGGAUGUCAGUGAAGGAAAUCAUGGCAGCUACUUCUGAAUUUAUUGAUCCCAAUUUUGGAAAGAGUUUCCAAGAGAAAAGGACAGCCAGUGUCACAAGUUGGCCAUCUAUUUGCAUCUGGAAAGUUGGAAGCUAUCUAGCUUGCUGGCCUGCUUGACUGUACCACGUGACAUGGAUAAUAGCGACGCUCUGGCAACACAGGAUGGUUCAAUUCUCAGUCAAUAUUCACUGAGCCCACACAACUGCCCAGGCAUCAUAGAAAGAGUUGGCACAGUCCUAGCCUUUGAUGGAUUUGUAAUCUAAAGUUACAUUUAAAAGAAGAACUUAAAAAUAUGCAGGUUAAUUCUACUCCCUAAAUAUUUAUUGAUUGUCAUUAACUUGGACCAUUAAACAGCUAUCUUUUUGAAAACCGUCUCUCUCUGCCCUCACUAAUGGAGUGUUCUCCAUAAUAGGCUUUUUCUCUUUCAUAAAUGUUCUUCUAUGGCUUUUCCCUUUAAACUAAACUAAGGAAAUAUUAUCAUAACUGAAAUCUUUCCCUAUUCAGCUAGAAAUGAGCAUUUAGCUUAAAACAAAUUGCAGGCC